AGUGAACGCUGGCGGUAGGCCUAACACAUGCAAGUCGAACGGCAGCACAGUAAGAGCUUGCUCUUACGGGUGGCGAGUGGCGGACGGGUGAGGAAUACAUCGGAAUCUACUUUUUCGUGGGGGAUAACGUAGGGAAACUUACGCUAAUACCGCAUACGACCUACGGGUGAAAGCAGGGGAUCUUCGGACCUUGCGCGAUUGAAUGAGCCGAUGUCGGAUUAGCUAGUUGGCGGGGUAAAGGCCCACCAAGGCGACGAUCCGUAGCUGGUCUGAGAGGAUGAUCAGCCACACUGGAACUGAGACACGGUCCAGACUCCCACGGGAGGCAGCAGUGGGGAAUAUUGGACAAUGGGCGCAAGCCUGAUCCAACCAUACCGCGUGGGUGAAGAAGGCCUUCGGGUUGUAAAGCCCUUUUGUUGGGAAAGAAAAGCAGCAGGUUAAUACCCCGCUGUUCUGACGGUACCCAAAGAAUAAGCACCGGCUAACUUCGUGC
Molecule: ribosomal RNA, 493 nt
Filed under: uncultured bacterium
Lineage: Bacteria
Description: partial 16S ribosomal RNA
Rfam family: Bacterial small subunit ribosomal RNA
Source: RNAcentral